This 496-nucleotide ribosomal RNA is filed under the name uncultured bacterium. RNAcentral describes it as "bacterial SSU rRNA". It matches the Rfam family "Bacterial small subunit ribosomal RNA", at positions 28 to 511 of the family's 1533-position model. The record is from RNAcentral.
GAUGAACGCUAGCUACAGGCUUAACACAUGCAAGUCGAGGGGCAGCGGGAUUGAAGCUUGCUUCAAUUGCCGGCGACCGGCGCACGGGUGAGUAACGCGUAUCCAACCUUCCGUACACUCAGGGAUAGCCUUUCGAAAGAAAGAUUAAUACCUGAUGGUAUGAUGAGAUCGCAUGGUAUCAUCAUUAAAGAUUUAUCGGUGUACGAUGGGGAUGCGUUCCAUUAGGUAGUAGGCGGGGUAACGGCCCACCUAGCCUACGAUGGAUAGGGGUUCUGAGAGGAAGGUCCCCCANAUUGGAACUGAGACACGGUCCAAACUCCUACGGGAGGCAGCAGUGAGGAAUAUUGGUCAAUGGGGCGGAAGCCUGAACCAGCCAUGCCGCGUGAAGGACUAAGGCCCCUACGGGUCGUAAACUUCUUUAGACGCAGAGCAAUAAGGUCCACGCGUGGACCGAUGAGAGUAUGCGUAGAAUAAGCAUCGGCUAACUCCGUGCCAG